Molecule: long non-coding RNA, 202 nt
Organism: Suricata suricatta (meerkat)
Lineage: Eukaryota; Metazoa; Chordata; Mammalia; Carnivora; Herpestidae
Exons: 2
Source: RefSeq, a predicted model, not a curated record
GUCAGAUAAAACUCCCCUAUUGAAGAAGCUCAUCUGGUUCCUUUCUGCAAGACCAGGCAGCAGGAGUGCUGUGAAAUUCAACGAAGGAUGGACAGUUUGUUCUGGUCUCUGCUUUAACCCCAACACCAAGGACAGUGCUCGGCUCUGAGUGGACACCCAGAAAAUAACUUGUUGAGCAAAUAAAUGGCUUAGUUAUUUAGAA